ACUUAGUGAUCCGGUGGUUCUGCGUGGCAGGGCCAUCGCUCAACGGAUAAAAGCUACCCUGGGGAUAACAGGCUUAUCUCCCCCAAGAGUCCACAUCGACGGGGAGGUUUGGCACCUCGAUGUCGGCUCAUCACAUCCUGGGGCUGUAGUAGGUCCCAAGGGUUGGGCUGUUCGCCCAUUAAAGUGGUACGCGAGCUGGGUUCAGAACGGCGUGAGACAGUUCGGUCCCUAUCCGUCGCAGGCGUAGGAAAUUUGAGAAGACCUGUCCUUAGUACGAGAGGACCGGGAUGGACGUACCUCUGGUGUACCAGUUGUCCUGCCAAGGGCAUGGCUGGGUAGCUAUGU
Molecule: ribosomal RNA, 345 nt
Filed under: Clostridioides difficile
Lineage: Bacteria; Bacillati; Bacillota; Clostridia; Peptostreptococcales; Peptostreptococcaceae
Description: bacterial LSU rRNA
Rfam family: Bacterial large subunit ribosomal RNA
Source: RNAcentral